GUCACACAUUACGUCUCAGGGACAGGGGUUGCAGCGUGCGUGCUUCCUCUCAAGUUCACUCACACUGUGAAAAGUGAAAGACGGAUCUUAUUUUGUGACUGAGGAACUUGAUCUUGUCUUCUUAUAGUCGUCUGAGCCGGAACAGUUUAAUUUCUGGACAUUCCUUGAAAUUAAACUUGAAUAUAAUCUUGAAUAUAAUCCAUCGAAGAGCUGAGGACUGGACGACCAGAGAUUGUUAUCAGAGCUGUUAUAGUAAAAUCACACUUACUUUGGCUGGUGUGUUACUGGAGUCUGUUACAGACAAACAACACUGAGGGCCUGGCUGUGGAAUCUCAAACAGGCCCUCAGCACAAAGAUCAAGUCCAGACGAGUCCAUGUCUCGGAUGCCCAAUCAGACGAAUUCAUCAGGGGAAGAGAGGCCUGAGGAGGUCCCACUGCAGCCUGUUGGGGGUACAGGUGAAAAUGGGGAUGCCCCCUGUGGCGUCAACACUCAAAAGUUCUCCGUCAGCAGAUGUCUGGAUUCCCUUAGCCAGCGCAUCACUUCCCGAUGGCCCUGCUGCAAGGACACAGACCACAGGAGACUGGCCAUCUGCAGUGUUAUUUGUGGACUGUCUUGUGUUGGGGCCACAGCUUUGAUCUAUUCUGUCAAGGCACGGGAGAAGAGGAGAGGUAACCCAGAUGACCCAGAGUGCCAGAUCUACUCAGACAAGGCCAGGAGUCGGGCUAUAUGGUCCAUUUUGUGCUGCCUGGCUCUUCCUUUCCUCAUCGCAGCUCUGGUGAUUUUUGCAUCGUACCUCCUCACUCUCGUAGACUGAGGCAGAAUUUGGGCUUUUGUUCCUCGUCUAGACACAAGAGGCAUAAACAAUGCUCUGCUGACAUACAUCGAGUCUACUCAGAGGAAGCCCACUGGCCAGCAUUUAAGGACAUGACUGAAACGACUAUUGAAUGAGAGCAUUAGUUACAAUUGGACCCGAGCUCCUCACUGACCACCAGGUCUUCGAGGAGAUGAAGAAAUGAGAGGUCAAGUUCUGUUUUAUUUCCCUGUCCAUUGGUGAGGCCUAAGGCUUGUUAUCUGACGUGGUGCUUUAAAAUCAAGCUAAAGAAGGCAGAUGAGAUAAAAAAAAAUAAAUAAAAAAAAACAACGGACAAAGGAAACAGAGCAGCAUUUCAGAUAAAUACUUUUAUUGGACAAACAGCGCAUGUUAAGAUACAAUUGCUCCGCUGGACGGACUUGAGCUCAGAGUGCCACACUUUCCAAUCGACUCACUUGGAACAGAUUCAUUCCUCCAAUUUUGGCACCAUGGAGACUAUUCCUAUGGACUGUGGAUGACCUGUUAUAAAACUAUAAUAACUAAAUGGGUAACCAUCCAUUUUACUGUUACAAACAUAGGAAUGCCCAACAGGGAGAAGCCCAACCACUCGGCCAAAGGGGAUGUUAAUACACAGACUCCUUUGGGACCUUCCAGCUCCAUUGUGUGAUGUACAGUAGGCAUACUUAGACACAAAAAUACAAAAUCAUAUAAAUGUUUUGAAUUUUGCAUGGUUAGUUCUCAUGAGACAUUCCGGUCAGUCCACAUACUGUCCAAGACUGUUUUUUUUUUUAGCUUUAAUUCACACUGUUAAACAAUAAUCUGUUCAGUUACAUUACCGUGUGAAUAUAAAAAUGUAUUUUUGUGCUUUAAAAACAUUCUUUUAUAUAUGUAAUUUGUACAUUGCAUGUUUUCAGUACUUCUCCAAUAAAAAGAUAAAAAAGCACUGUUGUCAACAGGCAUAUGUCAAAAAAGAAGUUAUCUUUGCCAAAACCAAUAUGAAUGCAUUA
This is a long non-coding RNA of Sardina pilchardus (European sardine), 1819 nucleotides long. RefSeq lists it as uncharacterized. NCBI's taxonomy places the organism in Eukaryota, Metazoa, Chordata, Actinopteri, Clupeiformes, Clupeidae. The transcript has 3 exons. The record is from RefSeq and is a predicted model, not a curated record.